UGCCAUCUCAAAUUCUCAAUUUACCAUUUACAAGUUCAUACACAAUAAGAAUAACACAUUAUAUUUGAGCUGAUAUUUCAGUGACUAGUACAGAUAUCUUCUUAAUUAAAUUUCUCUGUAAUGAAAGUAAUAAAGAAUUAAGUGCUUCAGUCGGACAUAAGUAAUAUUUUUCUAAGAAGUUCAAAGAGAGAUGCUGAAAUACACCUAAACCUGUUUAAUAAAUUCUCUAAUUGAUUUUCUGGUGAGCAUAUCAUUUUCUGACAACAAUGUAUUUUUUGUUCGCUACUUAUCCACCUUUAUUGUUUCUAGUCAGAAUAAGCAUUUAUUUAUCACAUCUAUCACAUAUGAUAUGUUUCCUAGUAUAUCAAAGGCAGUUUUACCUUGUGUCCUUGAGAAAGCCUUAUUAUUAAUAAACAAACAUGGAGAGUAUAAAGUGGGAGGUUUGCUGUGUACUGUAGGUAACGCUGUAUACUGACUAACAAUUAAAAAGUCUAAUUAAAAGUAACAAAAUAACUGAGGAUUGGAAAAUAAAAUUGGACCUAUGUUUUCAUGUCAAUCUCCAAAUUCAUUCAUUUCCCCAAUUAGGUUGUUUUCAAAUCAGCAUUGACAAAUAGUAGUGAUUAUAGUACAGUUCACCCUCAUACUGUCACAGUACAAGGUUGUUCAUAAUUUUGAAUUAAUGUUAGAUUUUUUAGCACUGCAUUUGAUAGGUAUAUCAGGACUUUUUUUUCAAAAAAAAGAAAAAGACACAAAAAAGGUUCGUCAUAGUUGAGACAAAUGGUUUUAAGAUACAUGUAUUAUACUUAUAAUGCAAAGGAAUACCCAUCUUAAUCAUAAAAGUAAAGAAAAAAAGAAAAAAGUUCAUUGAUUUGUGUUCAUAUUCAUUUUCAUUUCUGUAUUAUUUGAUAUCUAUUACUGUGUUAACAUGCUUAAGACUGAAUGAUUUAUGUCUUAACUUAUUGAUAUGUGUGAGAUGUGUGUGUUGUAUAUGUUUGAAUGUUUAAGUAUUUGUGUACGGAGUAUGAGUAUUCUUACUUUUC
RNAcentral lists this long non-coding RNA (1040 nucleotides) under Mytilus galloprovincialis (Mediterranean mussel). Lineage: Eukaryota; Metazoa; Mollusca; Bivalvia; Mytilida; Mytilidae. The record is from RNAcentral.